RNAcentral lists this long non-coding RNA (1177 nucleotides) under Homo sapiens (human). RNAcentral's name for it is "HSALNT0311555". Lineage: Eukaryota; Metazoa; Chordata; Mammalia; Primates; Hominidae. The record is from RNAcentral.
GUGGGAGCGGCUUCCGCUCGGUGGUUCCUUCCCGCACGCAGCUACGGGUUUCGGUGCUGCGCCGGUUAAGCCGGCACCAGAAACAACCUGCGACCCCACCUGGCGUGCGUCUUCCAGCACAGGGAAACGGGAUGGAAGUCAGAAGGGUCGACCACAAGGAGCUCUUACUGUGCAUCAGUUCAUCCUGCAAGUCCGCCACAUUUAGCUUCCUAUGUUACUGUCCUUUGGGGAUUCUCAAGGCUUUUCACAAAACUGGCUUCCACCUUCCUCACACACAUCCUCAUCUGGAAGAAAACUGACCUCUUCACAGAAACCCCUGACACCUUACUGACCCAGGAUCUUUGUUCAGGUGGCCAAAAGAAAAAGUUCUGCAGGCCAGGCGCGGUGGCUCACUCCUGUAAUCCCAGCACUUUGGGAGGCCGAGGCGGGCGGAUCACCUGAGGGAAAGUUUCAGAACUGUUGCUCCUGGCAGACACUUCGUGGACACGCAUACUCACCAUGCCUCCUUCCUGCUGACAACUGGGGACUUAAGUCACAACCUGCAGACUAGCACAGAGAAAUGUCUGACUCUUCAGUUGAGUUCAACAAAUGCUUAUUGAGCACCUCCUAAGUACCAGGCACUGUUGAUACAAAGAAAAAGUCUCACUCUGUCUCCCAGGCUGGAGUGCACAGGCACAAUCUCGGCUGGCUGCAGCCUCCACCUCCCAGGUUCAAGUGAUUCUUGUGCCUCAGCCUCCUGAGAUAUCUUUAAAGUUUUCUUGUUUCUUUCUUAAGAAAACUCUCCCUAUUCUAAUCUCCACUCAUAAUUCUCAAGAUGGUGUACAAAUAUUGCUAUAAAUAACUAUUCAUCAGGAAGUUCCAAGAAAGGUUCUGUUGGGCAAUAGUUGAUAUAACUCAUGAAAUAAAUAUUUACUGAACAUGUAUUAUGUGCCAGUAAUUAAUUAUGCAGUUUUUAUCUAGGAGGUAUAAAUACAUUUUUGCUUUUGGUAAAAUAAUAUUUUCACAAACAUAUUUAGAAAGGUUUUACAGCAUUAUUUUUACCCAUAGUGUAUUAAUUUUCUCAAUUAUGACUUCACUGGUGGUAGGUUUUAAGAACAUAAUCUUCAUAGAAAGUGAAAAAGAUAUAUAUUUAUACCAUACUCCCAUUAAUGGUAAUUCAUGGCCCAAACCUAUCCCU